GAAAUGCGAAAAGCAAUGCGAAUUGCAGAAUUCCGCGAGUCAUCAGAUCUUCGAACGCAUCUGGCGCCGAUCGGAUAUCCGUCCGGCAUGUUUGUUUCAGUGUCUUGUUGAGACUCACAAAUCUCAAUGUGAUUGAUCCCCCAAAAAAUGUGGAAACGCAUUCGAUGGGGUAUCUCUCAUGAAGUUAGGACUGCGGCAACGAACCGAUGCAGUAGUCAGUCUCGUACUGAUACUCAUUGGGACGAAGCCAUAACAGCGGUCACACAACUACAACAUUGACAUCCACAACGCAUCUGAGACAAGCAAGAUCACCCGCUGAACUUAA
RNAcentral lists this unclassified non-coding RNA (325 nucleotides) under uncultured fungus. RNAcentral's name for it is "sequence contains ITS1". The stretch from base 1 to 105 matches the Rfam family "5.8S ribosomal RNA", at positions 50 to 154 of the family's 154-position model. The record is from RNAcentral. Lineage: Eukaryota; Fungi.